GGUCGAGUAGCUCAGCUGGAUAGAGCAACAGCCUUCUAAGCUGUGGGUCUUGGGUUCGAAUCCCAACUUGAUCA
Molecule: transfer RNA, 74 nt
Filed under: Paludibacteraceae bacterium
Lineage: Bacteria; Pseudomonadati; Bacteroidota; Bacteroidia; Bacteroidales; Paludibacteraceae
Description: tRNA-Arg
Rfam family: tRNA
About the family: Transfer RNA (tRNA) molecules are approximately 80 nucleotides in length.
Source: RNAcentral